CAGUCGCCGCGGGAAAACGGAGGGUGCAAGCGUUAUCCGGAUUUAUUGGGUUUAAAGGGUCCGUAGGCGGACUUAUAAGUCAGUGGUGAAAGCCUGUCGCUUAACGAUAGAACUGCCAUUGAUACUGUAAGUCUUGAGUAUAUUUGAGGUAGCUGGAAUAAGUAGUGUAGCGGUGAAAUGCAUAGAUAUUACUUAGAACACCAAUUGCGAAGGCAGGUUACCAAGAUAUAACUGACGCUGAGGUACGAAAGCAUGGGGAGCAAACAGGAUUAGAUACCCCCGUAGUCCCUGUCUCUUAUAC
Molecule: ribosomal RNA, 301 nt
Filed under: uncultured bacterium
Lineage: Bacteria
Description: partial 16S ribosomal RNA
Rfam family: Bacterial small subunit ribosomal RNA
Source: RNAcentral